This 31-nucleotide non-coding RNA is filed under the name Rattus norvegicus (Norway rat). Lineage: Eukaryota; Metazoa; Chordata; Mammalia; Rodentia; Muridae. The record is from RNAcentral.
UCUGUCCAGUCACCAGAAUCAUUUUUGAGAC